CCUAGUUCAUGGUCUACAUCAGAGGUGUUGCUUUGGGACAGAAGGACACCUGUUUCUCAACUUGUUGAAAGGUAUGAAAGCUGUGUGGACCUCACAGAUGUCGACAGGGAAGAGGCCUGGUCUAAGUCAUCUGGCCUGAGAAGAUCAAACCAUGAAGAGAGUAAAGUGGAAAAUAUCUGGAGAAGAUAUGAGUCCCUCAGUGGGACAAGUAAC
Long non-coding RNA from Cyprinus carpio (common carp), 213 nucleotides. RefSeq lists it as uncharacterized. Lineage: Eukaryota; Metazoa; Chordata; Actinopteri; Cypriniformes; Cyprinidae. The record is from RefSeq and is a predicted model, not a curated record. The transcript is spliced from 3 exons.